CGGGGAAUCUUGCGCAAUGGGCGAAAGCCUGACGCAGCGACGCCGCGUGAGGGAGGAAGCCCUUCGGGGUGUAAACCUCUUUGGACGGGGAGAAGGAGAAGAUAGUACCCGUUUAAAAAGCCACGGCUAACUACGUGCCAGCAGCCGCGGUAAUACGUAGGUGGCGAGCGUUGUCCGGAAUUACUGGGCGUAAAGGGUGCGUAGGCGGCCUGGUAAGUUGAGCGUGAAAU
This 230-nucleotide ribosomal RNA is filed under the name uncultured Caldicellulosiruptor sp. Its description in RNAcentral is "partial 16S ribosomal RNA". It matches the Rfam family "Bacterial small subunit ribosomal RNA", at positions 355 to 600 of the family's 1533-position model. The record is from RNAcentral. Lineage: Bacteria; Bacillati; Bacillota; Caldicellulosiruptorales; Caldicellulosiruptoraceae.